RNAcentral lists this long non-coding RNA (1378 nucleotides) under Gallus gallus (chicken). RNAcentral's name for it is "lncRNA (ENSGALG00010028813.1)". The record is from RNAcentral. Lineage: Eukaryota; Metazoa; Chordata; Aves; Galliformes; Phasianidae.
GUGGGAACGGGGGGGGAACCCUAUAAGGGGGAAGGGGGGGGUUGUGGGGCCGGGGGGGGCACCCCAUAGCGGGGGAGGGGGGGGUUGUGGGGCCGGGCGGGAGAAAACCCCAUAGCGGGGGGAGCUGUGGGGCCGGGGGGGCGCUUUAUGGGGAAGUGGGGGGGGGGAGGAACAGAGGGUUAUGGGGCUUUGUUGGGGUUAUGGGGCUUUGUUGGGGCUAUGGGGCUUUGUUGGGGUUAUGGGGUUAUGGGGCGGUGGGGUUAUGGGGCCGUGUCAGGGUUUGUUGGGGGGUUUCGUCGGCGUUCCCGGGUUAUGGGGCUUUGUGAGAGUUCUGUGGGGUUAUGGGGCUUUGAGGAGGUGCGGGGUUUGGGGUCGCGGGGCUUUGUCGGGGUGGUGGGGUUUUGUCGGGGUUUCUUAUGGGGCUUUUUGGGGGUUACGGGGCUUUGUCGGAGUUAUGGGGUGUUGAGGUUUGGGGCUGUGGGGCUUUGUCGGGGUUAUGGGGUGAUGGGGCUGUGUUGGGGUGAUGGGGUUAUGGGGCUGUAUUGGAGUUAUGGGGUUAUGGGGCUGUGUUGGGGUUAUGGGGUGAUGGGGCUGUGUUGGGGUUAUGGGGCUGUGAUUGGGCUAUGUGGGGGUGAUGGGGUUAUGGGGUUGUGUUGGGGUGAUGGGGUUAUGGGGCUGUGUUGGGGUUAUGGGGCUGUGUUGGGGUUAUGGGGUGACGGCGCUGUGUGCGGUUCGGGGCGCUUUUGGGGCCCCGUCGGAGUUUUGGGGGUUCGGGUUUUUUUGGGGGGGGUUUCGUCGCUGUCGCGAUUCGGGGCUUCGGACGGCGCCGCGUCGGCGUUUAUCGGAACCGGAGCGGGACUUAUCGGGGCUCUACUGGGCUUUAUGGGACCGGACCGGAACUUAUCGGGGUUCUACUGGGCUUUAUGGGACCGGACCGGGACUUAUCGGGGUUCUAUUGGGGUUUAUUGGACCGGACCGGGACUUGUCGGGGUUCUAUUGGGGUUUAUUGGACCGGAGCGGGACUUAUCGGGGUUCCAUCGGGGUUUAUUGGGACCGGAGCGGGACUUAUCGGGGUUUAUGGGGACCGGAGCGGGACUUAUCGGGGUUCUAUUGGGGUUUAUUGGACCGGACCGGGACUUAUCGGGGUUCCAUCGGGGUUCUAUGGGGGUUCCGUUGAGAUUCUAUGGGGGUUUAUCGGGUCGCGGUGCUUUGGGGGUCCCGGGGGGUCGCGGCGGUCUCUCCGUCCCACGCGGGAUUGGGGCGCGCGUGGACCGCGAGCGCAGCGGAGCGCCCCAUUGUGCGGCGAACAAUGCGGAGCGGGGGGGGGACCGCCCCACAGAGCCCCCCCAUUCCGUCCCCGUUCCGCUUUGUGUGCGGC